Molecule: non-coding RNA, 552 nt
Organism: Solanum lycopersicum (tomato)
Lineage: Eukaryota; Viridiplantae; Streptophyta; Magnoliopsida; Solanales; Solanaceae
Source: RefSeq, a predicted model, not a curated record
CAACAAGGGCCAUUUCCUUACCUUGAUCAGCCGCAAUCAAACCAAGAACAAGAUCAGGACGAAGCUGACGAAACAGAAUAUCAGAACGGGGCAAUGGAAGUGGCGAGGAACGUGGUUGAUAGUACUCUAGAGAGGGCAAGUUUGCAUGAAUUCCCCGGAUUAAAUAAUUGAUAGUUUAUUCUCGUCUUUCUCAUUCUCUCUCUAUAUAUCUCGUACUUAACUCGGAUUCUCAUAUUCCUGUUGACAUCUUAUUGCAGUAGGCUAAGAGGAAUUAUAUGCUAUGCUGUUUCUCCAGGUCGUUAGACUACAUCGGAUUCUUUGACAGUGAAUAAGCGCUUAUUGCCGUGGAGGAACUUGAAGAAGACAGUGGAGAGUAGAGUAUGUAUAUUCUCUUUUUAUGACUAUAUAUAUAUAGAGAGAGAGAGAGAGAGAGAAAUCCAGAUAAAAUUGUUGAUGUAGACAGAAGAAAAGGAGAUUGGUGGAGGAACUAGUUCUUCAGCUCAUUGUACAUGCUAUGUUAAAUUGUUCAUUAUCUUAUGAUUUUAUUGCCUA